UACGGGGGGUGCAAGCGUUGCUCGGAAUCACUGGGCGUAAAGCGUCCGCAGGCGGCUUGAUAAGUCGGGUGUGAAAGCCCGGGGCUCAACCCCGGAACUGCAUUCGAAACUGUCUGGCUUGAGUACGGGAGAGGGUCGCGGAAUUCCUGGUGUAGAGGUGAAAUUCGUAGAUAUCAGGAGGAACACCGGUGGCGAAAGCGGCGACCUGGCCCGAUACUGACGCUCAUGGACGAAAGCGUGGGGAGCAAACAGG
This 253-nucleotide ribosomal RNA is filed under the name uncultured prokaryote. RNAcentral's name for it is "partial 16S ribosomal RNA". It matches the Rfam family "Bacterial small subunit ribosomal RNA", at positions 524 to 776 of the family's 1533-position model. The record is from RNAcentral.